GAUGAACGCUGGCGGCGUGCCUAAUACAUGCCAGUCGAGCGAACGGACGAGAAGCUUGCUUCUCUGAUGUUAGCGGCGGACGGGUGAGUAACACGUGGAUAACCUACCUAUAAGACUGGGAUAACUUCGGGAAACCGGAGCUAAUACCGGAUAAUAUUUUGAACCGCAUGGUUCAAAAGUAAAAGACGGUCUUGCUGUCACUUAUAGAUGGAUCCGCGCUGCAUUAGCUAGUUGGUAAGGUAACGGCUUACCAAGGCAACGAUGCAUAGCCGACCUGAGAGGGUGAACGGCCACACUGGAACUGAGACACGGUCCAGACUCCUACGGGAGGCAGCAGUAGGGAAUCUUCCGCAAUGGGCGAAAGCCUGACGGAGCAACGCCGCGUGAGUGAUGAAGGUCUUCGGAUCGUAAAACUCUGUUAUUAGGGAAGAACAUAUGUGUAAGUAACUGUGCACAUCUUGACGGUACCUAAUCAGAAAGCCACGGCUAACUACGUG
This 497-nucleotide ribosomal RNA is filed under the name uncultured bacterium. RNAcentral's name for it is "partial 16S ribosomal RNA". It matches the Rfam family "Bacterial small subunit ribosomal RNA", at positions 28 to 507 of the family's 1533-position model. The record is from RNAcentral.